CCACUUCGGUGGGGAUUAGUGGCGAACGGGUGAGUAACACGUGGGCAAUCUGCCCUGCACUCUGGGACAAGCCCUGGAAACGGGGUCUAAUACCGGAUACUGACCUUCACAGGCAUCUGUGAUGGUCGAAAGCUCCGGCGGUGCAGGAUGAGCCCGCGGCCUAUCAGCUUGUUGGUGAGGUAGUGGCUCACCAAGGCGACGACGGGUAGCCGGCCUGAGAGGGCGACCGGCCACACUGGGACUGAGACACGGCCCAGACUCCUACGGGAGGCAGCAGUGGGGAAUAUUGCACAAUGGGCGAAAGCCUGAUGCAGCGACGCCGCGUGAGGGAUGACGGCCUUCGGGUUGUAAACCUCUUUCAGCAGGGAAGAAGCGAAAGUGACGGUACCUGCAGAAGAAGCGCCGGCUAACUACGUGCCAGCAGCCGCGGUAAUACGUAGGGCGCGAGCGUUGUCCGGAAUUAUUGGGCGUAAAGAGCUCGUAGGCGGCUUGUCACGUCGGUUGUGAAAGCCCGGGGCUUAACCCCGGGUCUGCAGUCGAUACGGGCAGGCUAGAGUUCGGUAGGGGAGAUCGGAAUUCCUGGUGUAGCGGUGAAAUGCGCAGAUAUCAGGAGGAACACCGGUGGCGAAGGCGGAUCUCUGGGCCGAUACUGACGCUGAGGAGCGAAAGCGUGGGGAGCGAACAGGAUUAGAUACCCUGGUAGUCCACGCCGUAAACGGUGGGCACUAGGUGUGGGCAACAU
RNAcentral lists this ribosomal RNA (742 nucleotides) under Streptomyces sp. R10195. RNAcentral describes it as "bacterial SSU rRNA". It matches the Rfam family "Bacterial small subunit ribosomal RNA", at positions 75 to 832 of the family's 1533-position model. The record is from RNAcentral. Lineage: Bacteria; Bacillati; Actinomycetota; Actinomycetes; Kitasatosporales; Streptomycetaceae.